UACGGGGGGGGCAAGCGUUGUUCGGAAUUACUGGGCGUAAAGGGCUUGUAGGUGGCCAACUAAGUCAGACGUGAAAUCCCUCGGCUUAACCGGGGAACUGCGUCUGAUACUGGAUGGCUGGAGUGUGGGAGAGGGAUGCGGAAUUCCAGGUGUAGCGGUGAAAUGCGUAGAUAUCUGGAGGAACACCGGUGGCGAAGGCGGUUCUCUGGGCCUGUACUGACGCUGAGGAGCGAAAGCGUGGGGAGCGAACAGG
This 253-nucleotide ribosomal RNA is filed under the name uncultured bacterium. RNAcentral describes it as "partial 16S ribosomal RNA". It matches the Rfam family "Bacterial small subunit ribosomal RNA", at positions 524 to 776 of the family's 1533-position model. The record is from RNAcentral.